RNAcentral lists this transfer RNA (68 nucleotides) under Cryptonome barbada. Its description in RNAcentral is "tRNA-Phe". The record is from RNAcentral. Lineage: Eukaryota; Metazoa; Annelida; Polychaeta; Eunicida; Amphinomidae.
GCCUUUAUAGCUUAAAACACCUUAAAGCACAACCCUGAAGAAGUUGAGAUGAUUUAUAUCUAAAGGCA